This is a long non-coding RNA of Oncorhynchus masou masou (cherry salmon), 1285 nucleotides long. RefSeq lists it as uncharacterized. The transcript is spliced from 3 exons. Lineage: Eukaryota; Metazoa; Chordata; Actinopteri; Salmoniformes; Salmonidae. The record is from RefSeq and is a predicted model, not a curated record.
UGCGAUUCUUGUGGCAGCUGUUGUCGGUGGUGAAAUAUUGCUCAUUGUUCCCGAAUGUUUUCUCCUGGAAGAAAUUGGUACAGUUGCUCCAGUACCCGGCAGAUAUGAUGUGAGGAAUAUGAUGGGGGGAAAGACGGUCAUUUUGACCGGAACGAACAGUGGCAUAGUGAAAACCUUUGCCGGGAAGCGGCACAAACUCCAGUGUUCAGUAAUGAAGGAAGAACAAAAAGUUGAUGUGCUCAUCUACAACACAGGCAUCUACCAGUUUCCCUACACCAAGACAGGCGGGUUUCGAGAUGCAGCUGGUGUUCAACCACCUGGAUGACUUCCUUCUCACCCACCUCGCCCCGGACUUCCUCAAGCAGCUCUCCUCCCCCAGCCGCUUGGUGGUGGUCUCCUCCAAUCUCUACAAGUAUGGCAGCAUCAACUUUCGAAGACCUCAACUGUUGUGGUUUGUUGAAGUUAUUUAGUGUAUAUUGUAUUCCUUAGCACAAACCAGUUUGCAACGGAAAAUGAAAAAAACCCGAAAGUUUCUUAUGAGACAAGAGUUCAGUGAGAGCAGCUGCAACAAAGUGUUCUGUUACAGCCAGAGCAAGCUGGCUAAUCUUCCCGUGAGCUGACCCGACACUGGAAGACGAGGGCGUCACGGUCAACACACUCUCCCCAGGCAUGGUGAGGACCAGGCUGGGGAGGCACAUCUACCUCCCCCUUCCUGGCAAAACCUCUCCUCUCCCUGGCCUCGCUGGCCUUCUUCAAGAGCCCACUGGAGGGCGCAUGGACGCCGCUCUACCUGGCGUGUUCGCCCAACAUGGAGGGAGUGGUUGGGAAGUGCUUCGCUAAUUGCGAGGAGCUGAUGCCCAAGGUAAUGGAUGAUCACUCGGUCAAGAGGCUGUGGAACCUGAGUGAAAGCAUGUUGGGGAUCAAGUCUCAGUAAGAGACCUGGGAUCCAGACAGUCUUCUAGAGACGAUCCAAGAUACUUUUCCCUAUGAAUCAAGUGAAUUGGGGGAUGAUUUAUUGAGACUGUUUGGGAUUUCAUUGGAACUGGGAUCAGUGGGCAAAGUUCCCGAUGUUUUUAAUUAACCUUGGUGUGGGUGUGUGCAUCUGUGAGAGAUGUGCAAAUAUUGUGUGGAUGGAGUGUGAGUGGGAUUGGAGGUAUGCAUGCCGAGAGUGUUAAUAAUGUCAGCAAUGUGCCUGUGAAACAGAGAAGAUCCAUUGAGAAUUUCUACAUGCAGUGUUCCAUGAAUGUGUAACUAAGUAAACCAGUUCCCAUAGGAACCUACCAGA